Rosa rugosa (rugosa rose) is the source of this 411-nucleotide long non-coding RNA. RefSeq lists it as uncharacterized. The transcript has 3 exons. NCBI's taxonomy places the organism in Eukaryota, Viridiplantae, Streptophyta, Magnoliopsida, Rosales, Rosaceae. The record is from RefSeq and is a predicted model, not a curated record.
GUCUCCAAUUCAAAGUCCAGACAAAAUGAAGCCUCAAGAUGAUUCUGGAUUGCAAGCAAACAGUAUUCAGAAGGGAGUAACUCAAGGAUUACAUUUUUGCCCCCUUGCUAUAAAAUCGACGUCUCCAAAUCUUUUUCAGCUCGAGAAGCCUCCAUCAAGGUCAAUACCCACUGUUCGCCGAUAUCAGGCUUAUCCAUCGCAAUCAACAUCGGCAGAACCUUGAUUCUGUGUGCUCUGCAACUUCACAUCUAGGUGGUUAAUUACAGCAACUUCAAGGAAGUGUCUUCUGGGUGAUUAAGCAAAGAAGAAAAAGACAACUCUGUGUCUUUAUUUAUUUGGGAAUCUUUUCAAACACAUUUCUGUCUAAAUUAAUCCGGUAAUUAAAUAGUAACUUUAUGUUUCAUAUUGGAU